This 359-nucleotide long non-coding RNA is filed under the name Homo sapiens (human). RNAcentral's name for it is "non-protein coding lnc-SLC35B2-1:1". Lineage: Eukaryota; Metazoa; Chordata; Mammalia; Primates; Hominidae. The record is from RNAcentral.
GUGAUCACAGCCCCAUAGUUUCACGUCUAGGACAUGACUCCAUCAAGAGCGGGGAUGAGGAGUGCUCAUUUGGCAUAAACGGUGUCUCUACGGGCGAGGAACCCACUGACCUCCCUAAACACUUGUGGGGCAGGCGUCCCCACACCCAAGGGCGGGACUGGGGGGGACACCGAAAAAGAGCGGAGGCAGCUAACCACGCGGACCACCGCUCCCAGACCCAAUCUUCUUCCUAGCAUCUGCCCUACACAUCUCGCGUCCCGACAGAGGGACUGGCAUUCGGGACCCAACCUUGGGUAGCCCCAGAUCCCGACUCUCGCAGGAGUAGAGGAAGGGCGGAGGGUUCGCGCUGAGGGGCAGCU